RNAcentral lists this long non-coding RNA (310 nucleotides) under Pectinophora gossypiella (pink bollworm). Its description in RNAcentral is "uncharacterized LOC126380916". The record is from RNAcentral. Lineage: Eukaryota; Metazoa; Arthropoda; Insecta; Lepidoptera; Gelechiidae.
CAAUAAACUGUGUAGGAGUUCAUGAUUGCAAUAGAAUAAAAUCGACCAAGCCUGAAGUCAGCAGCCCCCCUUCAAUGAAUGCAGCAGUGUGACAGCCAGCAAUCAAAAGUUACAAGAUAUCGAGGAAAUGCAGAUGGCAAUAAACUGUGUAGAAGUUCAUGAUUGCAAUAGAAUAAAAUCGACCAAGCCUGAAGUCAGCAGCCCCUUCAAUGAAUGCAGCAGUGUGACAGCCAACAAUCAAAAGUUACAAAAUAUCGAGGAAAUGCAGAAGGCAAAAAACUGCGUAGGAGAUCAUUAAUACAAAAGUAUU